UACGUAGGGCGCAAGCGUUAUCCGGAAUUAUUGGGCGUAAAGCGCGCGCAGGCGGUUCUUUAAGUCUGAUGUGAAAGCCCACGGCUCAACCGUGGAGGGUCAUUGGAAACUGGGGAACUUGAGUGCAGAAGAGGAAAGUGGAAUUCCAUGUGUAGCGGUGAAAUGCGUAGAGAUGUGGAGGAACACCAGUGGCGAAGGCGACUUUCUGGUCUGUAACUGACGCUGAGGUGCGAAAGCGUGGGGAUCAAACAGG
Molecule: unclassified non-coding RNA, 253 nt
Filed under: uncultured Caryophanales bacterium
Lineage: Bacteria; Bacillati; Bacillota; Bacilli; Caryophanales
Description: uncultured Bacillales bacterium contains 16S-23S intergenic spacer region
Rfam family: Bacterial small subunit ribosomal RNA
Source: RNAcentral